UACGUAGGGAGCAAGCGUUGUUCGGAUUUACUGGGCGUAAAGGGCGCGUAGGCGGCGCGGUAAGUCACUUGUGAAAUCUCUGAGCUUAACUCAGAACGGCCAAGUGAUACUGCAGUGCUAGAGUGCAGAAGGGGCAAUCGGAAUUCUUGGUGUAGCGGUGAAAUGCGUAGAUAUCAAGAGGAACACCUGAGGUGAAGACGGGUUGCUGGGCUGACACUGACGCUGAGUGCGCGAAAGCGUGGGGAGCGAACAGG
This 254-nucleotide ribosomal RNA is filed under the name uncultured bacterium. Its description in RNAcentral is "partial 16S ribosomal RNA". It matches the Rfam family "Bacterial small subunit ribosomal RNA", at positions 524 to 776 of the family's 1533-position model. The record is from RNAcentral.